Molecule: small RNA, 114 nt
Filed under: Marmota monax (woodchuck)
Lineage: Eukaryota; Metazoa; Chordata; Mammalia; Rodentia; Sciuridae
Source: RNAcentral
GCCAGGCACAGUGGCCUGUGCCUAUGGUCUCAGCUACUUGGGAGGCUGAGGCAGGAGGAUCACUGGAGCCCAGGAGUCCAACCCAGCCUGGGAAACAGAGACACCCCAUGUCUG